RNAcentral lists this ribosomal RNA (250 nucleotides) under uncultured bacterium. RNAcentral describes it as "partial 16S ribosomal RNA". It matches the Rfam family "Bacterial small subunit ribosomal RNA", at positions 524 to 776 of the family's 1533-position model. The record is from RNAcentral.
UACGUAGGGUGCGAGCGUUAAUCGGAAUUCUGGGCGUAAAGCGUGCGCAGGCGGUAAUGUAAGACAGAUGUGAAAUCCCCGGGCUUAACCUGGGACCUGCAUUUGUGACUGCAUUGCUGGAGUGCGGCAGAGGGGGAUGGAAUUCCGCGUGUAGCAGUGAAAUGCGUAGAUAUGCGGAGGAACACCGAUGGCGAAGGCAAUCCCCUGGGCCUGCACUGACGCUCAUGCACGAAAGCGUGGGAGCAACAGG